CAAUAGCGUAUAUUUAAGUUGCUGCAGUUAAAAAGCUCGUAGUUGGAUUUCGGGUGGGAAUGGCCGGUCCGCCGUUUCGGUGUGCACUUGCUACGCCCACCUUGCUGCCGGGGACGUGCUCUUGAGUUCACGCUCGGGACACGAAGUCGGCGAGGUUACUUUGAGUAAAUUAGAGUGUUCAAAGCAGGCCUACGCUCUGAAUACAUUAGCAUGGAAUAACACGAUAGGACUCUGGCCUAUCUUGUUGGUCUGUAGGACCGGAGUAAUGAUUAAGAGGGACAGUCGGGGGCAUUCGUAUUUCAUUGUCAGAGGUGAAAUUCUUGGAUUUAUGAAAGACGAACUACUGCGAAAGCAUUUGCCAAGGAUGUUUUCAUUAA
This 377-nucleotide ribosomal RNA is filed under the name uncultured eukaryote. RNAcentral describes it as "partial 18S ribosomal RNA". It matches the Rfam family "Eukaryotic small subunit ribosomal RNA", at positions 592 to 976 of the family's 1831-position model. The record is from RNAcentral.